GGCCGCGUAGUGUAGUGGUUAGCACGCAGGAUUUUGACGCCAAAUUUCCUGAGACCUGAGUUCAAUCCUCGGCGGGGCCU
Molecule: non-coding RNA, 80 nt
Organism: Hypoxylon sp. FL0543
Lineage: Eukaryota; Fungi; Ascomycota; Sordariomycetes; Xylariales; Hypoxylaceae
Source: the annotation of a GenBank genome assembly